Long non-coding RNA from Oncorhynchus mykiss (rainbow trout), 2623 nucleotides. RefSeq lists it as uncharacterized. NCBI's taxonomy places the organism in Eukaryota, Metazoa, Chordata, Actinopteri, Salmoniformes, Salmonidae. The record is from RefSeq and is a predicted model, not a curated record.
CCUUCAUAAAAUCCUCUUCCGCGCUUAACUCAACAGUGAAUGGUGUACAGGUCAUACUGUACGGGCCACAAAAUGAUGAAGUACAACCUAACGUUACUUGAUCCUGAUGAAUGACUCAGCGAAAAUGGUUUACGAUCAGAUUAUGAGGAUCAAUCUGCUCGAUCCUGGAUGACAAUGGUGUACGAUCAGGUUAAAACCACCUUUAAGCCGACCUUGUUAGGGAAACCAGGAUAUCCCAAACUCCUGUUGUGCCUCAAGUUGUUGGAUGGUUGGAACCUCUAGUCGGACUCAUCAAUACAGUUGCCUACAUGGAAAUUUGGCUGAUCUUGCUGUUUUGGGGUUACAUUGCAAAAUGAACCACAGGCCAAGGUUCCUGGAGGCUGUCAGACCAGUUGCGUUUGUAAUGAAUGUCCUUGACGCCUCAAACUGAGCAGGGUUUGGUCAUGAAAGUGCAAAUACAAUUACCACUGACCUGCAAUGUUCACUAUUUUGGUGUGCUGUCAAAAUAUACUUAAACUGUAAAUGUAGUGUGAACUAUAGAUUGGUCAAUAAAGAAUACUCCAAGCAUUGGUUUCACUUGAUGUUGUCCAUAACAAUAAUGUUAUAUGUAAAGUGUUGGUCCCAGAGAAUGUAAUGUUAAUUUGGCAGUGCCCAGAAGACCUCACUGCGUGGAUUGCUUAUGUCAAUUUUGAACAGUCACGUGGUGGUUGACGUACGUGCAGGCUAUUUAAAUGUGCAGAGACCGUGGUGAGUGAGGCCCAUUGUCCUGGCACUCAUCUGCAGCCAUAGCCUCAUUUCAACAUAGUGCACAGUCGUAAGGAUCUACACAUAAUUCACGUGACAUGGCCUGCAUAUUCACCAGACAUGUUACUCCACGUGGGGUACUUGUUACCUUUUGAAUAGUGAUACAGAACCACAUUGUACUGUGAUACUCAACCCCCAGUCUUUCCCGGGAGUUUUGUCAGUCUUGAGGUUCGCGGGUAAUUGUCCUUGAGGUUUUGUUCGGGUGUGUACCGUGUAAAGUUAUUAUACAACUUCAUUACUGCGUUGGCAAGUAUAGUUAUAAAAGCAUGCCGUAACUUGGCGUUGUUUAGACCCUGAUUUUCAUAGUCUCCGAGAUGGCUAGUGAGGAUUCGGUGUUAUGCACUAUAGCCCGUUACUAUGUGAUUGCAUGUUCUCUGCUGUUGGCUUGUGGCUGUAUAUGUUAUGCAACACAGCUGACUAGACACAUUGUCAACAGUUUCAGGGCCAUGGGCCUUUCUCAUGAUGUAAAAAUACAGAACAUGAACUGUGCAAUGAGUUGUGGGGGCACAUUCAGAACGUAGUGUUGCGAGAACAAACGGUCUUAUGUUAACAGGAGCCAAGUGUGUAACUGUAUUGAGCAUGGGCGCAUAGAUAUUCUACACAACGACUGACCGCUGAAGCGCCUAGGGGGCUGGGACCAGCUCGGGCGCCAACGAUAGGCUGAGUGAGUUUAAACCACGCCCAGUCUCAUAACUGUCAGGAACAAAUCAGUUCUAUUUGCUCUGCGAGGUGUGACAGCGAGCCUGUAUAUACGAAAAUUGCAUGUACCCUUUAUUGCUUAGCUAAUAACAAGUACAUAGUAUACAAUCGGUGACUCAUUUUCAUAUUUAUCCUGAUACCAGAUUCGAUUGAUGCAACCCUUAACACUAGUACCACCAAAAUGUUAGCUAGCUAUCCUCAUCACCUAGCUACCUAUAAUUUCUUUGUUCCCACUCAAUGAUGGCGUCUCCCAUCAACCAAGGUUCCGUGGCCUGAACAUGGCUGUUAGACCACUGUUCAUAGGCCGUCAUUGGAAAUAACCAUUUGUUCUUAACUGACUUGCCUAGUUAAAAGUAAACAUAAGGUAUGUUCAAUUCCCUUCAAUGUUUGUCUCAAGAAUAAACAAGUGAAAUAAUUAGUCAGAUUAGCUAGCUACUUGUCUUUAGGCUUUUAAAGGGGGAAUCAGCAGUUGAUACAUCUUUGGAUUUAAUGAUAUGUACCCAUUGAUUCUUGAAGAUAUUACUUAUAAAUGCCCUAUGAGCUUAGUUUGUCAUACCCCACCAGAACCCCAAAUAAAAGCUAGUUUUACUCCAAUGUUUUUUAACAAAGUAAAUGUAACCACUGUAGCCUCAAGCUAUAUCAAGGAAGGUCAGUCCUUGCAUCUAUAGCUCUGGCUAUGAAUUUGAGUGGUAACAUUUCUCCAGCCCAGUCCCAAGAAGACGGAAGAUGCUUUAUUGUUUCUACUGCUGAUUGCUGCUUUAAGUGCUUUUCAUUUGCUUCAUAUUGUAACCUGCAGUAGGCUCUAUGUGAAUGCGGUAUAAUGAAAAGACUGGCUCCUACAAUAACCAAGGGCUUUUGGUCUUGCUGGCAAUGGCUAAUUACCUUUCAGUUUGACCAAAAGGCCUGAAGUCUCUUGUUCAUAGACAAGGAAACACUUACAUACCCCCAUGUUAUACUUUAAAAUGUAAUAUAUUAAUUUUGUAGUAAGAAACAUAACGGCUAACAGGGGCACCCUUGUGUUUUAUCAUGAACGGGGUAUGAAAGGAGGGCCUCGUCCCUGGUGACGGAGGCUGCUGCAGCUACAGGACUACCCUUGUCUGUUAAGAACCGGAUUGGUAAC